GAUGAACGCUAGCGGCAGGCUUAAUACAUGCAAGUCGUGGGGCAGCAUGAGUAGCAAUACUUGAUGGCGACCGGCAAACGGGUGAGGAACACGUACACAACCUUCCUUCAAGCGGGGAAUAGCCCAGAGAAAUUUGGAUUAAUACCCCAUAAUAUAUUUGAUAAGGCAUCUUAUUAAUAUUAAAGCUUCGGCACUUGAUGAUGGGUGUGCGGCUGAUUAGAUAGUUGGCGGGGUAACGGCCCACCAAGUCUACGAUCAGUAGCUGAUGUGAGAGCAUGAUCAGCCACACGGGCACUGAGACACGGGCCCCGACUCCUACGGGAGGCAGCAGUAAGGAAUAUUGGACAAUGGACGAAAGUCUGAUCCAGCCAUGCCGCGUGAAGGAUUAAGGUCCUCUGGAUUGUAAACUUCUUUUAUAUGGGACGAAAAAGGGCAUUCUUGUUCACUUGACGGUACCAUAUGAAUAAGCACCGGCUAACUCCGUGCCAG
RNAcentral lists this ribosomal RNA (489 nucleotides) under uncultured bacterium. Its description in RNAcentral is "bacterial SSU rRNA". It matches the Rfam family "Bacterial small subunit ribosomal RNA", at positions 28 to 511 of the family's 1533-position model. The record is from RNAcentral.